UCCUGGCUUAGGACUAACGCUGGCGGCGUGCCUAACACAUGCAAGUCGAACGGGCCCUUCGGGGCUAGUGGCAGAAGGGUGAGUAACACGUAGGCAAUGUGUCUUCUCGCUGGGGAUACCCGCCCGAAAGGGCGGCUAAUACCGAAUGAUUCCGCUUCGAGGCAUCUUGAGGCGUAUAAACCGUAAGGGUGAGAGGAGCAGCUUGCGCAUCAUCAGCUAGUUGGUGGGUAACGGCCUACCAAGGCAGCGACGAUUAGCCGGUCUGAGAGGAUGAACGGCCACACUGGAACUGAGACACGGUCCAGACUCCUACGGGAGGCAGCAGUGAGGAAUAUUGCGCAAUGGGCGGAAGCCUGACGCAGCGAACCGCCGCGUGUGGGAUGAAGGUCUUCGGAUUGUAAACCAUUGUCAGCAGGGAAGAGAACGGACGGUACCUGCUGAGGAAGCAUCGGCUUACUACGUGCCAGCAGCGGC
RNAcentral lists this ribosomal RNA (474 nucleotides) under uncultured bacterium. RNAcentral's name for it is "bacterial SSU rRNA". It matches the Rfam family "Bacterial small subunit ribosomal RNA", at positions 17 to 518 of the family's 1533-position model. The record is from RNAcentral.